AGGGCAGCAGGAAUCACUUCCUAUCUACCAGAGAGCAGCACUCAGAAAAUGGAGACUCUGAAUAACACCAGCAUAUUGCCAGGAUUCGUGCCUUUGGUUUGCAAAACUCUCCACAUUCUAUCCGGGCAGCUGGGUGGCACAAUGGAUAGAGUGUCACACCUCAAGUCAGAAUGACCCAAGUUUAAAUCUGACCCCAGACAUUUUCUAGCUCUUGGACUCUGGGAUAUUAGUAAGGA
RNAcentral lists this long non-coding RNA (236 nucleotides) under Monodelphis domestica (gray short-tailed opossum). RNAcentral's name for it is "lncRNA (ENSMODG00000041858.1)". The record is from RNAcentral. Lineage: Eukaryota; Metazoa; Chordata; Mammalia; Didelphimorphia; Didelphidae.